This is a long non-coding RNA of Oncorhynchus keta (chum salmon), 2795 nucleotides long. RefSeq lists it as uncharacterized. The record is from RefSeq and is a predicted model, not a curated record. NCBI's taxonomy places the organism in Eukaryota, Metazoa, Chordata, Actinopteri, Salmoniformes, Salmonidae. The transcript has 4 exons.
AUGAAGUUGUUCCACUUGCGGCGGAUCUUCUCAACAGGAAGACAGUGACCCUGCUCCUCCAACUCUUUCUGCACGCUCUGAAAGAGCUGCGAACGCUCCCGGGUCCCGUACAGGCUCCAGCGGCGCCCCACUACGUCGAUCAGUCUGAGUGGACAGCGGUACUCCGAGGUUCAGCAUCACUGGACAGCUGAGGUCUCAGAGAAUCCAACUCUGUGGAGAAUCCCUGAACAUAAAUCCAGUAAAGUUUAACCAGAAGUAAGACGUCUAGAGGCCUGGAAGGUAACAACUUACAUGAGAAGUUUGGAGAGUAACAUUCACUGUAUGAAAUGCAAUGUUAUCACCAUCAUUCUAUUUGAAUGGUUAUCACACACCAAUUUUGGCUGAUAGAAUGAAUGAAUAAAAUGACUAGAUAGAUGACAGUGAAUAAUGUACAUGCAUGGAAAGUAAGAUGGGUACAACUUGGUGUACAAGUCUGUAUGAAUGCUGUAUAGAAAGACCAGGGCAUGGUGAAUAUUCCCUGUUGUCUCAUAGUGAGAUAACAGUACAGACUUGAUGAAGGCUCGACUGGCUAUUGGAUGCAGCUGGAUGCUGAAUGUACUCUUGAACUCUCUCUCAACGAGAUCCUUCAAUCUUUCGCCCAUUUCACGGAACUCUGCAUUAUCCUUCAGGAAAAAAAGAAACACCGUUGUAUAGAAAACAUAAUAAACAAGCUAGAAAUGCAAUAAACACAACUCAUUUAUCCUGUGCAGCUUUGUUAUGGAUUAAACAAAGGCACAUUGUUAGUGUUAUUCAUGCAUUAACACAAGUAAAGUUGAUUAGCAUGUCCAACAUUUUUUUUCUCCAAAUUUUAGCCCAGAGGUUUCACAUUGGAUAUUGCAGUAGUGCAGUCUUACCCUGUUAAAUGUGGCACAGUUGGUGAAGAUAAGCAACACGUCAGACACAAAGUGUUGCACUGUUUUGUAGAGAUUCUGCUGCAGCUUCUCCACAACCCUGUCCAGCCAUGUAGGGGUCUUAAUCACACUGGUGUAGUUUCUCACCGGCAAUGAAACAUAUAGACAGAUGUGACACACACACAGAUACACACACGGACGGACACACAUACGAUCAGACGGAAGGACGGACAGAUAGAUAGACUGGUUGAUGAAUUGAUUGAUUGUUCGGCAGGCAAUUGGCCCAAUGAUAGCAUUCGUUCAUCAGGGAUCCUCACCAGUAGGUAGUCAGAGAUUCGGCAGAUCAGACCCACCUGGUAAGUCUUUUGACCGGUGUAACGCCACGACUGACUAGCCCUCAGUACACAGAAUGUACACAUCCACAUAAGAUUAUCACUGUUAUCACUUUUAGCUUGUCAAAGUAAAUACUCUGUCUCUUUCUAUCAUAACAUGUGUGAGUAUAGCCUUGCUUUUGAGAGGCUGUUGAAUUUUGGCAAAAGAAAGCAGAAAAUGCCUACAGUCAAGUCAGCAGAGGGCGCUAUAACAUGACAAAAACAGUGAGCAGCGAGCAGACAAAAUAUCUGAUGGUAGCAGAGAAAGGUUUUGUAAAGAAAUGACAGAUCAGAUAAGAACAGCAAAGUUCUCUAGCCCACUUGUUUACCAACAAUACCCAUUAAUCCAAUCAUUCCUCUGAUACUAAAGUACAUCCUACCUACCUGCUCUCUCAUUGGCUUCAGGGCUGAGCUGGUCCACUGCCUCAUUGGAUGACGACUUGUCAGAUAUAUAACCCUCACUCAAGUCUCUCUUGAUUGUGCAAGUCUGUUGAAAUGACACAAACUCUAAGUUUUGAGGAAUAGAUACCAGAUAUUUGGGUAGGAAGUGUUGGGAAUGGAAUGCUGUAGCGAGAUACCAGUGGAUUAAAGAGAUAUUGGCAGGUAAAUUGUGGAUGUUGAGUAGCCUAUUCAGUAAACAGGGAUUUUUAUUCUUAUUGAAUAAAAUCAAGUUGUGGUCACUGAUUCUCAGUUCUAUUUUUCAGGCAAAACAUUUGAUAGAUUCCUGUGUCCCUAAACAACUCCAAAUUAACAUGUAGAGGGCAGGGCACUAACCUUCUCUUCCACCCCCACACCUCCCAGUAUUUACCAGUGGUCAGUGUUGUGUAUUUAGUGGCCAAGAACACCAAUGCUAGGGCUGUGUCUCAAUAGCUUUAACUUGCUUCCUCUUCUCAUGUCCUUUCCUACCCAUGAAACCUACAGUUUCCACAGUAUCCAGUCCUUUGGCCUAUCAGUGGCAAUGAAUGAGAGGAGAAAGGAAACAAAGUAAUUGUACACUAGAGGAGGAAGAACAGGAAGAAUUUGACAAUCAUUUGACUAUAUUUCACAGAGGAAGCCAUUGACCAGUAUUGAAAUCCAGCCAGGGUAGAUCUGGUCAGGAAAGGAAGGGUCAGAUCAAAGUCCAGUCAGAGCAUAGAAUCAUCCACAUUAGGAUGGAUGAAAGGAGCGAGGACACUUAUCACAGCAUAUCAAGCUGCCCUGGCUCAUCAUCCUGAUUGUGCUGCCAAGACAGAGAAGAGAGGAAGCAGUCCGUUAUUUUUUAGGUGAACACAAGUUUGCAACUAUACUGGCAAUAACUGGGAACAUGGGCUGGGAACCCUGUGAGGUGAGAUGGAAGACAUGCAUGGUGAGACAUUGGAAUACACAUUUUUUAUCUUUUAUAAUAUAUAUAUUUUUAAAUAUUAAAACAUACAAUCAUACAUACCUGCAGUGAAGCUGCUCAACAUUUACAUUACAUUAAGUCAUCCAGCAGACUCCCAUCCAGAGUGACCCACAGGAGCAACCAGAGCCAAGGACAUGUCGACAGAUCUUCCAC